This 488-nucleotide long non-coding RNA is filed under the name Ananas comosus (pineapple). Its description in RNAcentral is "long non-coding RNA (ACOM_LNC044119)". Lineage: Eukaryota; Viridiplantae; Streptophyta; Magnoliopsida; Poales; Bromeliaceae. The record is from RNAcentral.
UUAAAGACAUCAUGGACUGAAGCUAAUUCUAGUAGGAGAUUUUUUUGCUGCAGACACUAUAAGGUAUUCUCUUUCGUUGUUCAUUUUCUUCCCUUAUUUUUGAGGUUUUAAGUUUGUGAAAAUUUCUUAUUUGUGUUUUCCUCUCUGUUACAACACCGAUCCUUAACCUUUUCUCGAUUUUUCACUUAGGUCCCUAAUCUUUUCCUUUUUUUUCAAAUGGACCCCCAACUUUUUUCACGAUUUUUCAUUUGGAUCCAAACCCCCCUUUUUUGGUUUACAGAGAUACUACAGAGAUCUAGCGAGUGUGGAUAUUUUUCUUGGUAUGAUCCCCCUGUGACUUAUCGCUCUCGCCAAGUUAUUAUUGGUUUUUUGCGGAAGAGAACGGCAAUGGAGGACGAGCUGAACACUCUAAAUUAAGAAAAAGAUUAAGCGGCUAAUAUGGAUACUAAUUAUUUCUUGGAUUGUGUUUGUUGGCUGGAAUUUGAUAU